Molecule: ribosomal RNA, 467 nt
Filed under: uncultured bacterium
Lineage: Bacteria
Description: partial 16S ribosomal RNA
Rfam family: Bacterial small subunit ribosomal RNA
Source: RNAcentral
GACGAACGCUGGCGGCGUGCUUAACACAUGCAAGUCGAACGGAAAGGCCCUGCUUUUGUGGGGUGCUCGAGUGGCGAACGGGUGAGUAACACGUGAGUAACCUGCCCUUGACUUUGGGAUAACUUCAGGAAACUGGGGCUAAUACCGGAUAUGAGCUCCUGCUGCAUGGUGGGGGUUGGAAAGUUUCGGCGGUUGGGGAUGGACUCGCGGCUUAUCAGCUUGUUGGUGGGGUAGUGGCUUACCAAGGCUUUGACGGGUAGCCGGCCUGAGAGGGUGACCGGCCACAUUGGGACUGAGAUACGGCCCAGACUCCUACGGGAGGCAGCAGUGGGGAAUAUUGCACAAUGGGCGGAAGCCUGAUGCAGCAACGCCGCGUGCGGGAUGACGGCCUUCGGGUUGUAAACCGCUUUCGCCUGUGACGAAGCGUGAGUGACGGUAAUGGGUAAAGAAGCACCGGCUAACUACGU